RNAcentral lists this unclassified non-coding RNA (342 nucleotides) under uncultured fungus. Its description in RNAcentral is "partial contains 5.8S ribosomal RNA and internal transcribed spacer 2". The stretch from base 1 to 133 matches the Rfam family "5.8S ribosomal RNA", at positions 22 to 154 of the family's 154-position model. The record is from RNAcentral. Lineage: Eukaryota; Fungi.
UGGCUCUGGCAUCGAUGAAGAACGCAGCGAAAUGCGAAAAGUAAUGUGAAUUGCAGAAUUCAGUGAAUCAUCGAAUCUUUGAACGCACAUUGCGCCCGCCAGUAUUCUGGCGGGCAUGCCUGUCUGAGCGUCAUUUCAACCCUCACGCCCCCUGCGGGCGUGGUGUUGGGGAUCGGCCCGGGCUCCCUCGGGGGCGGGCCGUCCCCUAAAUCGAGUGGCGGACUCGCCGUGGCCUCCUCUGCGUAGUAGUUCUAUUCCGCAGGCGGAGGGCGGCGAGCCCCUGCCGUAAAACCCCCAACCCCUUCCAAGGUUGACCUCAGAUCAGGUAGGAAUACCCGCUGA